UUAGAAUUACGAUUACGCCUUUACUAGUAGCAUCUUCUUUUCCUGCUACUCUAGCUAUUCUAGAAACUAAAUAAAGCCUUCACUUCAAGCUUUGUUUGGGGUGGCCUUUCUUCUUUUGCGGCGUCUGAACUUUUUGAAUUCAAAAACCCUUGUUGCUAGACUUUCAAUAUUGCUAAUAUCGAGCAAAGAAAAGAGUUUUCUUCUGACUUUUUCUAAAAUAAGUCCUAAGUAUAAGUACCCGGGGUACUCUAACUCUCUUUUUUUAAGACUAAACCCAG
RNAcentral lists this unclassified non-coding RNA (278 nucleotides) under Hevea brasiliensis (rubber tree). Lineage: Eukaryota; Viridiplantae; Streptophyta; Magnoliopsida; Malpighiales; Euphorbiaceae. The record is from RNAcentral.